CGCUCAGUAGCCAGUGUAGAUCCUGUGUUUAGUAAUCAGCAGCUACAUCUGGCUACUGGGUCUC
This 64-nucleotide microRNA precursor is filed under the name Microcebus murinus (gray mouse lemur). Its description in RNAcentral is "microRNA mmr-mir-222 precursor". Its record names the gene mmr-mir-222. It matches the Rfam family "mir-221 microRNA precursor family", at positions 11 to 73 of the family's 84-position model. The record is from miRBase by way of RNAcentral. Lineage: Eukaryota; Metazoa; Chordata; Mammalia; Primates; Cheirogaleidae.